ACAAAUACGCCACAUAGGAAAUGACAAAAAUAGCCUUACAUGCAGUUACAACUAAAGAACAAUGUUCUCUUGUUUAGGUAGCUAGUAACAGAACGACAUAGUUCACAAAGCAACAAAUAAACCAACAAUACCUUCUCGAAACACAAACUAACACAGCUAUGGUUACUACAACCAUUUUCAAGGAAGUGGAACUGCACCAGAAUCAUCUCCGGCACCAGGUCCACCACCACCAAUUCCACCGCCACCUAGAGCCGGCAAGCCAGCAAAACCAUUAGCAAGACCUCCAAAAGUUCCUACACCACCAGCAGCUGCACCAGGUCCACCAAAUUGGUAACCAGCACCUACACCUCCGAUCCCAUUGGAGGUGCCUAUGCCAAGUCCGGCGCCACCACCACCAAUGGGUUGGCCGUUGUUAUCGAAGCCAGAAAAGCCACCCAGUCCACCAAAACUGACAAUGUUCUUUUGUUCAGUUAGACCGACAGCAGCUUUGUUGGUGUCACUAGGAAGGUCUCUGGCAAUAGUACUUUCUACUACUACUGCUGUUAAAACAACCAGUAACAUGAAACGCCAGUUUGCCAUAUUCUUUUUUUAUAUUUGUUUACUUGGCUAUAAGCGUAUGUGUCGGAUGCAAGAUUUUUGAAUAUGGGAAUGCCCUUUUUAAAGCCAAAAUUGGGCAGUUGGACAGAGUAAAUGGCCUUAAUUUCUAGGGGUGUUUGGUCAAUUGGUAGGGCAAAAAAUAAUUUUCACCCAUAAACCUUCAAUUUAGCUGUCUUUUUUAUUUUUUUAUUUUUUGUACCUUGAGCGCCAAUUAUUUAUUUCGAUUGUAUUUUAUUUAUUAUCUAGAUGGUGAAAUCUGACGAACCACAUGCUCAAAUCUCUAUUUCAGUUGCAAGAAGAUCCAAUCUUUAAAUGGGAAAAUCCAUCAGAAAAUGGUCUGAAUUCAUAUAUUGAGUGUAAAACAAUCGGUCAAAAUGGUCUAAAUCCAUUACAAAAAAACCGAAGUUUCAGGCAAAAUCCGUCGCUAAUCUGUAACGCACGAACACCGCCCCGCAGUGGCAUUAUGUUAUCUGUCAUGGUAACAAGAACGGCUUGCAACACGAUUUUAAUCCAAUGAAAAUUGAGUUUGAUCCUUGACCAUAUUAAGACUAUACGGUACGAGUCACAAAAACAUCGGUAUGGCCGAGGUGGCACACCAAAACGGCGUUAUAACGCCGAGAACACCGCCCCCUCCUGUUAUGGCAAGGCAAGUUGUAAUGACAACACAAUGCAACGCCAUUUUCAACCAAUCAACUCCUCUUUCUUCUUCUUCUUUUCUUCAUCUCAAUGUCAUUCAUAUAAUUGAACACCACCCCAAAAAAAAGUGGUGGAGAUUAAAAGGUUUUUGGUGCUCACCUGGUCUCACAACGCUGUUGACCAUACCGAUUAGUGUAGCAAUCAAUUUUUCAAAAAAAAAGAAAUUUAUAAAAUCGUGGAGAUUAAAAGGUUCUUAAUAUUUUGUUACCUAUAAAAUACAUAAUGUCUACCUCAUUUUUAUUCACGAUAUUCUCUUAUCUUUCUCUAUAUUUUAUAAAAUUUCAAUACUUCUAGAAAAAUGGAUAUGUUCGACAUGUCCAACGAUGAUGAUAUUUUCGUCAGUACGACGUGGAACAUGCUUUUAGAGUUAUAAAGUCGAAGUGACACAUAGUUGAACAUGCGGUGCGACCAUAUGAGAUCGACAUACAAGAUACUAUGCAUGCAAGUAUUAUAAUGUAUAACAUGGUGAUUGAAGAUAAAUGACGAAAUAUUGCAGAGUAUAUGCAUACGGAAGCAAUACACGUGCAAUUUCAACCAGGAACAACGAGAUAUUUAUAUAGAGUCGUUGAUAUUCAAGACGCACGAAAACAUAUGCAACUUCGAGAAGACUUGGCGAAUUAUGUAAUACCCGUUCCAGGUAUGUUUCUUUUGGGAUUAUAUCAUUUUUAGACUCUCAAAAUAUGAGAUUUUUGGUGAACACGACGUGGUGACGAAGGAGCACCACGGUGUGGUCACAUCAGACAAGAAACGCGCAUCUAGUAUCCACCACGACAUGGCAACGGUUGGAGUGUAAAACCCUAAUUCUUGGGCCUAGAGCCCUAUUUAAAGGAUGUGAUGGCUAGAGUUUGUCCACCCUCAGCCUCCAUCACUCCUCAAAAACCAUAAACCAACCCUAGUCUCUUUGUGUUCAUCUUGAAGCUCAUUUGUGGUGUAUAUUGUUGAUAUGUUAAGUGUUAGAACUGCAUGCUAGUUUGUUGACUAGGGAUCUUCAGAAAUUGCAUAAUAUAAUUGCAUGAUUUGUGAUUCCUGAUAGCCUAGGGGAUUGUUUAGUUGUGUUAUAUGAAACUAACAUUAUUGCUGCUAGUAACUAAGUGUAUGCAUCAUGAUUGUACAUAAUUAGGAUUUUAAAGCCUUAGAAUGCUUGAUUUAGCCUUACUUCUUGUUCCUUGUUUGUAACGUCCCAUAAACCAUAGUAAAAAAAUUUCUUUUUUCAGAAGACAUUUUAAUAAAACCCAUAAAGUAAUCAACCGUUGUUUCAAAAUAAAGUCAUAAAAAUAAGAGUAUCAAUAUCAUCUCUCAAACAUAAAUUAGCAGGAGGAUGUGUACGAUCACACAUUCACCUUGCCCCGAUCAUCUGAAGUACCUAAAACAUUUAAAUCCACAACUGUAAGUCAAAUCUAAGUGAGUCCCCCCCCCCCAAAAAAAAACCCACACAACAAUACACAUACAAUGCAUGCACACAAGAGCCUUCAGUCUGCCUAGACCACCUUGUGAGGCCUACAGGAUGCCUGGACUACUCUACUAAGCCUACAGUAUACUGGAUCGCCUCGUAAGACCUAUAGUAGCUGGACCACUCCAUUGGGCCUACAGUCUGACUAGACCGCCUCAUAAGGCCUACAAUACACUGGAUCGCCCGAGUAUCUUGGCCUACAACACAAAGCAGGAUUGCCUCAACCCUAUCAUAAUAUGUCGACAUAUGUAAACAAAUAAAUAAUAACCAAUAAUACAUGUAAUCAUACAGAUCUACCAAUCUAACAGAUCGCUACAAUGUACCACCAUCUUAUACACUAGGAUGCAUAUUGCAGUACAAAGUAUAGUGAGAAAAAUCACAUCGCAUUCUAGCAGAUAAACAACAUAGCUCACACAAUCCAAGAAAUGGUGCUACAAGUCACAUAUAUAAGAAUCAGGGACCAGUUCUUAAUCUACAGCCAAAAUCCAUCAAAUUGACCUAAAGUCAAACUUGGUCAAAAAGUCAAAAGUCAACGUCAAAGUCAACAAUCAAAAGUCUAUAAGUUGGUCACCAUGUAGUGGCUAAGCAUUUUCGACGCCAUGGUGACCCCAUGCCAAAACAGUUGUGAAGACCACUUAGUGCCAUGUGGUGGAGGCUAAAUCUUCACGUCGUGGGAAAUGUCCUAACCAACUUAAUGCAUUAAGCUCUUAUCCUUCAAGCUACUUAUUCAUACGUUCUAGAAGGCUUUCUCUCAGUUAGAAAAAUCGGUGCUUUAUAGACAUGCAUAUUCAAUGCAUGUCUUGAACUCCAACUGUGUCAAAAUUGAUGAAAAUAAGGUCAAAAGCUCAUUCAAGUAAUCAAAACUCAAUCAUAUAUGACCUCAAGGAUCCAUAGAAUUGUCAACUUUAUGAGAUCCCAUUACACUAACUAAACCAAACAUGAAGAAUAAGAUAAAAGUCUAGAUCUAAAAACAUGACACAUAAUGAUUAGAUCUUGAAGACUCACAAUGGUCCAUAAUAUGUGUUAAAAUAUAGAGGAGGAGAUUGCUUGUUGGAACUACACUCAAUGGACCUCUUCUUCUCCUUCAAAGCACCAAAAUCACAACACCAAAGCUUCAAAAACUCAACAAUGGAGGUUAGGGUUCGUUUGGGGUAAAAGGGAGGUAAUGAAGGCUGAGGGUGUGUAAACCCUAGCCAUCAUAUCCAUUAAAUAGGGAUUAUAGCCUGAAAAAUUAGGUUUUUGCAUGCAGACGGAUGCCACGUCGUGUCCAAUAUCUUGCCACAUCGUGACAUUCAAGAAAAAUGCACAUUUCACUCGGGCGCCACCACGUUGUGGUGCUAUCAUAACCUCGUCGUGCCUACCACAAAGCCUUAUAUUUAAGCCUUAAAUGUCCACAUCCAUAAAAGUACUUAUACUUGGAAGUUGGUGUUACAUUGUUUGGUUGUGGGCUUAGGGUAGAAUCAAUUAUUUGACUGUCUAUCGAAUCCAAUAUUAUGUAUGAUUAUCAUACACAAGGAGAACGCACAGUUAAGGGAGGUUUCUUGAUUCGUGGGAGUGUGGUUUGGAGAAUCCUAUAGGAAACUAGGAAUUGGAAAUCACUCUUAGGAGUGUGUAUUGGGGCGUGAUAGUACGUCUAGUCAUAGUGGGCCUAGUGGCUAGGGACUUCGUGGCAAUCCUUGAGACAAAUACGGGUAGGUGUGGAAGGUAGUAUGGGCCUAUACUACUAGAAGCACAUGACUUGUAAGUGUGUCAUGGAAGGUUAAAAAUUAUGAUGAGUGCGUAAUUGAGCUUAUAGUGUGUUACCUUGUGUUUUAAUUUUAACGUGUCCCUAUUUGUUUUAAAUAUGGUGAUGACGAGAGGUUCCAGUUCAGGUGCUGAUGGCCCGGAGAGGCUAGGGUUGAGUGAUGAUGAGAUCUAAUAUUUUAACACUACAUAAGUGACUCUAGCAGUCAAGGAGGCGAUUCUGGAUAUGUUCGGGUCUAUCAUGACCACAAUGAUUGAGAUGUUCGACGAGCGUUAUGUUUUUAUCUCUGAUGGUGUUGACGCCGCAACCACUCGAGCUGUCACCAUUGCAGAACUUGAAGGAUGAGGGUUGAUGUGGUACCAGGAGUUCAGUAACAUGAAGCUCCUGAAGUUUGAUGGGUUCAAGGGCCCGAUUGUUGUUAUUAGGUGGAUAUCUAACCUUGAGGGGUAUUUCUAUAUAUGUUUGUGUCUGGAGAAUGUGACAUCCCUAAAUUUACGGUCAUUUUAAAACUCUUUGUUUAUGCUUAUUUAAAACAAAGUUUAUAUACAAAUGCGGAAUUUGGUCCCAUAAAAGUAUUUUCGUAGAAAUGUUUUUCAUUGAUUUAUAAAAAGCUUGGGAUGUCAUAAUUGAUACAAGAAACAUAAGCAUAAACGGAGACUUACAUUGUCUCAAUAUACUAACGAUUUACAUCUCCUUGAAUCUCUCAGCAGAUACAUAAAUCAUUAUCCAAGUAUCUUUAUUUAAUAACCCGUGAUUCAAAUAAACUAAGGGGGUCAGCUUGGGAAACCUGAUGCAUACAUAGGGUUUUCAACCCACAAUAAUAUAGUUAAUAUGUUUAAUUAUCAAACAAUUAACCCAAUAUUCCAUCCCUGCUAUCUUCUUUACUCUUAAGGAUUUAUCUUAAGGAUCAUCUAUGCUGACAGUACUAGUUCAGGGAUUUCUCCGCAAUACAUGUCAGUAGGUUUCUUUCUAAGGAUUUGUCAUAAGGAAUAGGCACGAAGUCCAUCGCUUCCAGUGUUUAGGUAUGAAGUCCAUCGUUGUCAGUGUUUAUCUACCAGACACUAAGUCCAUAGCUGCCAAUAUCUAUCUACUAGGAACUUAGUCUAUAGCUGCCAGUAUUCUACGAGACUAUCAUUAAUUAGUCUAGUAGUUGUCACCUAUGUUUUGCUAAGUGACUGCAUCGUUGGUACACCAGUAACAUUCCUAAAGUCGUGGCAUCUUAUCUUCGCCUACACACUAUGACAUCCUAUCUUUCAUUGUAUUAUGGCAUCUUUCACUACCCUUCGUAACCCAAUGUACAAUGUUUAUAGAAAUACAUAUGCGGUAUAAAUCAUAUAAACUUAUGUUUUUAUAACAUUUCAUCUAACACAUAACAUCUUUGCACAUAAGCACAUAUAGCAAUUAAUUAAUUAGAUAGUUUAUAUCUAUGUGCAAGAUGAAAGUAACUAUGCACUCACUUGUUAAAGUGAUGACUCGAAUCUCGGACAACGCUUCGCUUCUAGCAACUGACCUUUCAUUCGACGUAACCUAGUAUCAUUAUCACUAAGUCUUAGCCUAAUAUUCUACGUGACUGAAAAUAGCCUAGAUUCCUCAACAAUCCCAUUGUCUACUGAUCCAUAGUUGUUAAGAGACAACUAGGUAGGAUCAUGUCGGAGGUAGGGUCCAUUUGUGUAACACCUGAAAUCAGAUAGGUCAAGAAAGGAAAGGAAAACCCUAAGUUAAAGAGGGUUGACUCGUCGAGUCCCGGGAGGAACUCAGUGAGUCGGAGCGGGAUCCGGGUGUAAAGUAAGUGAUCGAAUCGGCGAGUCGGCAAGUGGACUCGGCGAGUCUGGUCUGGGUUGGGAAACCCUAAUUCUGGCACUUGGUACCCUAUUUAAACAUCUUAUUCUCUUCCUUAGGGCUCAUUUGUGGCUCCUAGAGUCCAGAACCCCAAAACCCUAGCCACCAUAGUCGUUUUUGGAGCAAGAUUUACCCUUGGUGAAGUAAUUUGGAGCUUGCAAGAGAAGAGAUUCAUAGUGGUGCAAGAGGAGGCCUUGGAUCCAGAGUUGGUGGAACUUUUUAGAGCAUUUGGAGGUAAUGAAUUGUUAUCCUUGGCUUUCUCCUUUCUAGAUCCAUCUUUCAUGGAGUUUUAGGGUUUCUUUGAGAGUAUGUGAUGAGAAAUUGGUGCAUAAGCUAGAUCUGGAAUUGAAACUCCAGAUCUGAGCUCUAUUUGGAUCGAAAAUGCAGGAAGCCAUGUUAGUUGCUAUGAAAAAGCCUUCCCCAUGAGUUGAGUUCCUCUCUAGCUUGGUUUUUGGUAUUAUGAGGCAAGAAGCACGUAAAGUUAGCAACUUUAUGUUGCUAAUGGACUCUAGGAACCCAGAUCUAUUGUUUGGAGCAAAGGAGAAGCUCUGUGACUUGAAAUUAUGGAAAUGCACGUAUGGACUCGGCGAGUCUGGGAGAUGACUCGGCGAGUCAGGCUAGAUAUCAGACUUAAAUCGCGUAGCAACUCGGCGAGUCACAUGGGUGGACUCGGCGAGUUGGAUGAAGAUAGGAAGGAACUCGACGAGUUGGAAGAACAACUCGGCGAGUCUGUUGAGGAUUGCCUUGAACUCGACGAGCCUGUUCUUGGACUCGGCGAGUCAAGUUGCAAAACCCCAAACCCUUCGAGUUAAGACUCGGAUUAGUGAAUUGAGUGGGGACCCAGUGAGUUGGACAGGUCAGGACUCAGAAAUCAGUAGACUCGGCGAGUCAUGGUCUGACUCGGCGAUUCGAGUCGAGAAGGAAGGAGGUUUCUGAGCUCAUGAACUCGGUGAGUCAGUAGGCUGACUCGGUGAGUAGGGUCAACCUGGAAGGUUGACUGUGACCAGGACUUUGACUUUAACCAGAGUUGACUUAGUGGACUUUUGGAGGGCUUUCAGACUAAGUGUCAUAUUGAUAUUGGUAGUUCGGAGAGCUAGAGGAGCAGCGGCUCAGAGGGUUGUCGGUUAGCAGCCAACGGGUUAUCAGCAGAGCUCAGCAGUUCAGGUGAGUUUCCUUCCAGUAGGAACGGGUCUAAGGCCAUAAUGCCGGCCUGUUUAGCUAGCAGUAGUUUCCGGACUUCGGUCCGAUGUAGUAGUUAUUAUUUUUGAUGCCCUCGUGGCUCAAACAGGAUUUGUGUGUUAUGUGUUCCUGGCUACGGUCCAAUGCAGUAUGCAGUAUAUGUGUGUUCAUGCUAGUUGAUACAUUUAUGUUAUGCUCUAUUCAGUUAGUUCCAGACUUCGGUCCGAUGCAGUUAGUCCAGACUUCGGUCCGAUGCAGGGGACAAGGUCCCAGUCAGUUUCUGGACUUCGGUCCGACGUGNUCCGCACUUUGGUCCAAUGCAGUUAGUCCGGACUUUGGUCCGAUGCAGGGGACAAGGUCCCAGUCAGUUUCCGGACUUCGGUCCGAUGCAGGGGGCAAGGCCCCAGUUAGUCCGAACUUCGGUCCGAUGCAGGGGACAAGGUCCCAGUCAGUUUCCAGACUUCGGUCCGAUGUAGGGGCAAGGCCCUAGUCAGUCCGGACCUCGGUCUGAUGCAGUGGGCAAGGCCCAGUAUGUGCUUUAUAUGUUAUUGUAUGGUAUGUGGUAGAUUAGGGGAGCUCACUAAGCUUCAUGCUUACGGUUUCAGUUUUUGGUUUCACGUACUCAGUUUUCAAAAUAGGAGCUCGGAGAGGUUGCAAUGCAAACACCAUAGUCAGUUAGCCUGGGAAUGUUUGACUCUGAUAAUGAGAUUAUGUUUUGAAUUAAUACUCGAAAAUUAUGUUAUGACUUAUGAUACGGUUUUUAUAAAUAUGGUUUUAGUAAUGUUUUAAAAGAAAUUUUUAGUCGUGAUUUUUGGGUCGUUGUAAGUUGGUAUCAGAGUCUUGGUUUGAAGGAUUCGAACAUACUUGAGAGUGUGUCUGGACUCAAACUAAGGAAACGGUAAAAGGUUUUCAAAAGAAAAACAUUUUCGAAAAGAAUUUUUGAGGAAAGAAAAGAGUUUUAGAAAAAGCGAUAAGAAAUUUUUAGAAAGAAAAGAACUUUGAAAAAAGAAAAAGGGUGUGGUGCAUGCAAUCAGUCGAGCUCAAGUAAGUUUCCCAAAUUACCCAUACAAGUUUAUGUUAUCAGAUUCAGUUUCAGUUUCAGAUCGGUUCAGUUUCAGUUUCAGUAAAACAGCAUGCUAGUAUAGGACUAAGGAUCUAGGAGGAUGCCUUAUGUGUUUUAGCUUGAUAAGAAUUGCAUGCUAGUAUUGAGUAGACAGAGGUAGGAUAGUCUGUGUAGGUUAUGCCUGAUAGUAUGAGCUUAGCAUUAUAUGCUAGUAUAGUCUCUCGUAAUAAGAAUAGUUUCACAUGAGUAUGUUUCCUUUAUCCGAAUGUUGCUCGAUUUGUGCUCUGUGGGGCUCUGAGUGAUGGGAGUUAGCCAUUAGGUGAAUACGUUACGUCACAUGUGGUCAGGGUUGAAUAAUAUCAUAGUGCUAGAUUUGGCCCUAUUGUGCAGCUCUCGUCUGAGUCUAACCGUUGUAGGGACGAGUCUUUUACUCGAAGGAUUAUCCGAGCCUCAUUGCAUGUGAUGGUAUUCAGGUGGUGGCUAAUUGGCAUUACAAGGAGGCCUUCAGCAGCUGAGGACUGGUUUGGGUGGAGUCAGAGGUUCCCUAGGGCA
This 9120-nucleotide long non-coding RNA is filed under the name Lactuca sativa (garden lettuce). RNAcentral's name for it is "long non-coding RNA (LSAT_LNC009143)". Lineage: Eukaryota; Viridiplantae; Streptophyta; Magnoliopsida; Asterales; Asteraceae. The record is from RNAcentral.